GGCGGGUAGCGUCCCCUGAAAAGGACGCCUCCCGGCCCCGGACGGACCCCCGCGGGGCCGGACUCGGCGCCCGCCGGAGGAUAACCAAACGCUAUUUUAACGACGUUUCUUCUGAGUGGCAUAAGCAAAAUAAUCAAAACUUUUAACAACGGAUCUCUUGGUUCUGGCAUCGAUGAAGAACGCAGCGAAAUGCGAUAAGUAAUGUGAAUUGCAGAAUUCAGUGAAUCAUCGAAUCUUUGAACGCACAUUGCGCCCGCCAGCAUUCUGGCGGGCAUGCCUGUUCGAGCGUCAUUUCAACCCUCAAGCUCUGCUUGGUGUUGGGGCUCUACGGUCGACGUAGGCCCUCAAAGGUAGUGGCGGACCCUCCCGGAGCCUCCUUUGCGUAGUAACAUUUCGUCUCGCACUGGGAUCCGGAGGGACUCUUGCCGUAAAAACCCCCAAUUUUUCAAGGUUGACCUCGGAUCAGGUAGAAUACCGCUGAACUUAAGCAUAUCAAUAAGCGGAGGA
This 507-nucleotide ribosomal RNA is filed under the name Colletotrichum sp. UFMGCB 5253. RNAcentral describes it as "eukaryotic LSU rRNA". The stretch from base 138 to 291 matches the Rfam family "5.8S ribosomal RNA". Lineage: Eukaryota; Fungi; Ascomycota; Sordariomycetes; Glomerellales; Glomerellaceae. The record is from RNAcentral.